GAGCAUUUCUACUAGAUUUAUUUCAUUUAAUAAACAAAAACAAGAAUAAAUGUAUUCAUAAAAUGAUUUUAGCAAAACCAAAUUUACUUAAUAUAUUGCAUGGUAUAAAGAAUAUAAAGAAACAAAUAUACACACACACAAGAUUUGAAUGUAUUUGACUUGGCUUCUAAACCAAAAGGUUUCAAAGUUAAAUUAUGGUGAAGAUUUUUUAAAAAGUAAUUUUUUGGUUGUUUUUGUGUUCAGCCCUACUUUAAUGAUUAGUUGCUGAAAGUAAAGAUAGCUGGUCACUGAGCUGACCACAUCACAUGUUUGAACACAAAAUCUAAUAACGUUAUGUGGGUAAGUAGCUAACUGGUCAUAUUGAGCUCUGAAAGUAAAACAAUACCAAAGAAAAGUGUUCUGAACUUUCAACAAGAAGAAAUUAACAAUGGAGACAGAUUCAAUAUUAAUUUUUUUAAAAAAAGCACAUUGCAAUUCAUAAAACUAAGUACAUAUGUGAAGAGCAAGUAAAAAAAAAUAAGUCAUCACUAUCACAAGGCAAUAUCACAAUAGGCUUAUCACAGCAGUUUGUAAUAUAGUUGAUAGCAGUUUACUACAGCAAAAAAAAAAAAGAAAAAAAACUUUCAACAAUGGAGAACAUUGACAGUUUGGGUAAAGAGGGAUAUUAUAUGUUAUUCUCACUCCUUUCUUUUCAACAGCUCUCCUUUGUAAAUGUUCAUUACCUACAAAGUCAAUGUGCUGCAGCACACGCUCAAAUAUUUGUCACCCCCCCCCCC
Long non-coding RNA from Biomphalaria glabrata, 776 nucleotides. RefSeq lists it as uncharacterized. The transcript is spliced from 2 exons. NCBI's taxonomy places the organism in Eukaryota, Metazoa, Mollusca, Gastropoda, Planorbidae. The record is from RefSeq and is a predicted model, not a curated record.